UUAUAUGUUUGUUUUUUUGUUUUGUUUUUUGUAAUUCAUUGUUGAUAUUUUAAAUUGAUAGUAUCACUUAUAAUAUUGUUGUAAUUGCUACAACUUUUCAACUUUGAAACUAUUUUUCUCAAUUAAUACUGUAGUGUUUAUACACGGUGGAAGUUGCUGAAGUGUGCGGCGUGCUCCCUGACCUACUGACUGAGUCAUCUCUGACUACUACAGAGAUGAUGGCAUGCAACUGUGGAGCAUCAUCAGCAAUCUCAAUGUUGCAAGGUUGGUUUUCCGCCUGGGGAUGCU
Molecule: long non-coding RNA, 288 nt
Organism: Alosa alosa (allis shad)
Lineage: Eukaryota; Metazoa; Chordata; Actinopteri; Clupeiformes; Clupeidae
Exons: 3
Source: RefSeq, a predicted model, not a curated record